CCUUGUAAGUUUUUCCCGUCUCGCUGGAGCUCUAUUUUUCAGAACAUCCUUUCUGCAACCAAUGAUGAAAGCUUGCAAGGUAUGUAUUCUUUGAUGCUAUGUUUUAUGGAUAUCAAGCCUAUGCAAGCCUCUAGAUAGUAGCAGUUUUAAAAUUUUAUCGAAUUUGACAGUGCAGCGGGAAAUAAUACCAAUCAGGAACAACAACCAAACGGAGGGUUGGCUCUCGCGUCGCUCCCGCGAGCGACCGAGGGUCCCUGGCGGCGCCGCCCCUUCGACCCCCUCCACACCCCUCCCCCUCCCUCGCCGCCGCCUGAGGGCGUCGCCGGGCAAAGCCCGCGCGGCGCAGGCGGCGGCGGGGCCCUUCUUCUCCCUCGCUCGGUGGUGGAGGCGCGGGCCUCGGCGGCUGGUGAGGGCGCCGCGCGGUGCGGUGGGCGCGGCGGCGCGGUCCUUCGACGACGGCGUGGAGACAUCGGCGGCUGGGCGCGCUCGCGACGGCGGCAGUUCUCCGAAGCGGCCAUGGUGGCGGGAGGCGCGAGCUCCGGCCUGGGCGGGCGGAGGAAGAUGAGGGCGACGCGGGUAGGUGCCUGGCGCGGCGUGCGGUGGCGCGGCGCCCGUCCGGCGUGAAGCGGUGGAGUUCCGGCGUGGUGGGGUGCUGCGGCCUAGAGGGAUCUGGCCGCCUCGAGUCCGGAUCGGGGCAGGGGCCCCGGGCCCGUUUCGAGCCCAUCUUCGCCCAGAUCUGCAGAUCUCCGGCAGCCAUGGGGGCUGCAGGUGGUGAUCCCCGGUUGCGGUGUCGGGGGCGAUGGCCGGCCUGCCCCUCGUUUGGCGUCCGACGGCCUCGAUGCGACGCUCCUCCUCUUUUUUCCUGUCCGCCCGGUGUCGAGUUGGGAAGCCGGGGCGGCGGCCCUGGAAGGUGGGAGUCAUGUUGGUUGGCGGGCGAGCCAAUGACUCUGGUGCUGGCCGGUGACCACGGCCGUGAGGGCGGCGUGGUGGUCGGCGAGUUGAGUGUUGUGGGGUGUAGAGGAUGGUGAUGGUGCCAAAGGGAAACCUUUGCCCCUCGGGCCACGGCGGCGGCGUCCGCGGACGGCGUUCCCUUGUUGAAGGCGCCGUGAGGCUAAUCUCCGUCCCUCUACUUCGUCCGGGUGAAAACCCAAGAUCCUUGGAUCGGGCGGUGGCGGCACUCCGGUGUCGUGCUCUUCUUGAAGACACCGUCUUGGAGUCCACAGCGCGAGACUCACCGAUGGUUGUGACGGAGGUGGUUCUUCGGCGAUCCUCGGCAAGGCUUGCUCCGUGCCCUUCCCUUGUCGAGCUUCCUUGGCGCUGCUGUUCGGUUUGUGAGCAACUUGGGUCGGUCCCCGGUGGUGGUCGGCUUCCGGUGGCGCUUCUGCGACGAAGGAGUGUUGUUGAGGCGUGCGUGAAAAUGGCUCGCUCUUGGGUGAGCUCCGGCCCGACACUGUAGACUCCGGCUCUUCUUCGAGUCUUCGUAGGCGCUUUGGCUGAGCUUGUUGGUCGCGCUUCCGGCUGUAGCUUCUUCGGUAGUUCGUGUGGGUGUGUGGUGUCGUUUUGUAAGCUGGGUUCAGCACUGUGUAUCGUACUCGCCGUUGUUGGCUUUGUUAAUUCAAAGUCGGGCACUUCAGUGCCUUUUAUCUAAAAAAUAAUACCAAUCAGCAGCAGAUGGUGAUAAGUCACUACUAACCCUGUUGUUCCCAGGUGAACACAGCAGGAACAUCUAUUGCAUUGGCAGAAGAAUCACCGGAUGUUGGUACGUUAGUGUUUGCUGGCUAAAGAACAUCUAUUGAAUUCCCUAGCAGGAAAGUUCUAGGCCCAUCACUUUGUACAAAAAAUUAAUGCAAUACAUGUCUAGAUGAUCAUGUUCUUUUUCUCAAACUCUCAGUUAACGUUUGCUGGCUUUAAUUUAGAUAUGCAAAUGAGGGCAACUUUUCUUGUUUAGUACCCUGUUUCCGAGGGAUGAGGCGCUGUUGGCUAUUUGCUGGUGGCGAAGAGUGCGCAAUCGUCGCGACUCGCAGGUGCUGGAUCAAUGGCGCUUGACAACAGCGAGGUGUAGAUGGUGACAUGCACAUCAGAGUCGAGUAGUGUUGACGCGAGGCGGCAGGAAGUACGGGCGAGUCAGUACUAUGAGUCACUUCUGCUAGAAGCCAAAGCGAAGAAUGAGCGAGAAGUUCUACUGGUACUGCGAAAGAUGUGGGCAUUAAACUCCAAUAGUUACAGACAAAGAUUGAUAGUUGACUAAACUUCCAUCAUUAUCUGAGAAAGUUGUAUAGUUAUAUAGAUCAAAGGGGGCUAUGUACUAUAAAUACACUAUUAGAGGUAGGGAAAAGGCUGAAUUCGCCGGAUGAGCGUAGAUGAUAACAAAUUUUGGAAUUUAUUCCGAUGAAUGGUGACAACAUCAGUACCUCGUGAUCUUCUGAUGCCUAGUUAUCAAAAGGAUUGAACGAUUUAACGCCUUUUUUUUAUCUAUCUUGCUAAAUUUAUUCUCUUAUCA
Lolium perenne is the source of this 2500-nucleotide long non-coding RNA. RefSeq lists it as uncharacterized. NCBI's taxonomy places the organism in Eukaryota, Viridiplantae, Streptophyta, Magnoliopsida, Poales, Poaceae. The record is from RefSeq and is a predicted model, not a curated record.